CGGAGUGUGGCUCAGUUUGGUAGAGCGCUGCGUUCGGGACGCAGAGGCCGUAGGUUCAAAUCCUAUCACUCCGACCA
RNAcentral lists this transfer RNA (77 nucleotides) under Clostridia bacterium. RNAcentral's name for it is "tRNA-Pro". It matches the Rfam family "tRNA". From Rfam's summary of the family: Transfer RNA (tRNA) molecules are approximately 80 nucleotides in length. Their secondary structure includes four short double-helical elements and three loops (D, anti-codon, and T loops). Further hydrogen bonds mediate the characteristic L-shaped molecular structure. tRNAs have two regions of fundamental functional importance: the anti-codon, which is responsible for specific mRNA codon recognition, and the 3' end, to which the tRNAs corresponding amino acid is attached (by aminoacyl-tRNA synthetases). tRNAs cope with the degeneracy of the genetic code in two manners: having more than one tRNA (with a specific anti-codon) for a particular amino acid; and 'wobble' base-pairing, i.e. permitting non-standard base-pairing at the 3rd anti-codon position. The record is from RNAcentral. Lineage: Bacteria; Bacillati; Bacillota; Clostridia.